This 217-nucleotide unclassified non-coding RNA is filed under the name plant metagenome. Its description in RNAcentral is "partial contains small subunit ribosomal RNA, internal transcribed spacer 1, and 5.8S ribosomal RNA". The record is from RNAcentral.
UCUCCGUAGGUGAACCUGCGGAGGGAUCAUUACAAGUGACCCCGGUCUUACCACCGGGAUGUUCAUAACCCUUUGUUGUCCGACUCUGUUGCCUCCGGGGCGACCCUGCCUUCGGGCGGGGGCUCUGGGUGGGCACUUCAAACUCUUGCGUAACUUUGCAGUCUGAGUAAACUUAAUUAAUAAAUUAAAACUUUUAACAACGGAUCUCUUGGUUCUG